UAGGGAAUCUUCCGCAAUGGGCGAAAGCCUGACGGAGCAACGCCGCGUGAGUGAUGAAGGCCCUAGGGUUGUAAAGCUCUUUCACCGGUGAAGAUAAUGACGGUAACCGGAGAAGAAGCCCCGGCUAACUUCGUGCCAGCAGCCGCGGUAAUACGAAGGGGGCUAGCGUUGUUCGGAUUUACUGGGCGUAAAGCGCACGUAGGCGGACUUUUAAGUCAGGGGUGAAAUCCCGGGGCUCAACCCCGGAACUGCCUUUGAUACUGGAAGUCUUGAGUAUGGUAGAGGUGAGUGGAAUUCCGAGUGUAGAGGUGAAAUUCGUAGAUAUUCGGAGGAACACCAGUGGCGAAGGCGGCUCACUGGACCAUUACUGACGCUGAGGUGCGAAAGCGUGGGGAGCAAACAGG
Molecule: ribosomal RNA, 404 nt
Filed under: Actinomycetes bacterium
Lineage: Bacteria; Bacillati; Actinomycetota; Actinomycetes
Description: Actinobacteria bacterium partial 16S ribosomal RNA
Rfam family: Bacterial small subunit ribosomal RNA
Source: RNAcentral